UACAGAGGGGGCAAGCGUUGUUCGGAAUUACUGGGCGUAAAGGGCGCGUAGGCGGCCUGCUAAGUCGAACGUGAAAUCCCCGGGCUCAACCCGGGAACUGCGUCCGAUACUGGCAGGCUUGAAUCCGGGAGAGGGAUGCGGAAUUCCAGGUGUAGCGGUGAAAUGCGUAGAUAUUGGGAGGAACACCAGUGGCGAAGGCGGCUACCUGGACCGGUUCUGACGCUGAGGCGCGAAAGCGUGGGUAGCAAACAGG
RNAcentral lists this ribosomal RNA (253 nucleotides) under uncultured bacterium. RNAcentral describes it as "partial 16S ribosomal RNA". It matches the Rfam family "Bacterial small subunit ribosomal RNA", at positions 524 to 776 of the family's 1533-position model. The record is from RNAcentral.